GACGAACCACACGAACGUUAUUCGGAAUUACUGGGCUUAAAGGGUGCGUAGGCGGUCGGGUAAGUCUGAUGUGAAAUCUCACAGCUUAACUGUGAAACUGCAUUGGAUACUAUCCGGCUCGAGGAAUGGAGGGGAGACUGGAAUACUUGGUGUAGCAGUGAAAUGCGUAGAUAUCAAGUGGAACACCAGUGGCGAAGGCGAGUCUCUGGACAUUUCCUGACGCUGAGGCACGAAAGCCAGGGGAGCAAACGGG
Molecule: ribosomal RNA, 253 nt
Filed under: uncultured bacterium
Lineage: Bacteria
Description: partial 16S ribosomal RNA
Rfam family: Bacterial small subunit ribosomal RNA
Source: RNAcentral